UCUUCACUUCAUUAGCGGUACGGCCAGGCAAUCUUCCAGCAAUCAAUGACCACCUAAAAAUACAUUGUCAAAAUUUUAGCAUCAAUGUAAAACCCUAGACUUGUUGCAAUGAUUUGAUGAUGUAUAUAGUACUUGUGUAAAAUGUUUUUCCUGUAAUUGAGCUGAAAAGAUGAAUUUUGUUUUUCAUAUUUUUGCUUUAAGAGAAAGAAAGAUGACGGUAAAUUAAAGAGGGAAUCUGAUCAAUAGGGGCGUAUCAUGCAUAU
RNAcentral lists this long non-coding RNA (263 nucleotides) under Citrus maxima (pomelo). Its description in RNAcentral is "long non-coding RNA (CMAX_LNC000984)". The record is from RNAcentral. Lineage: Eukaryota; Viridiplantae; Streptophyta; Magnoliopsida; Sapindales; Rutaceae.